AACGAACGCUGGCGGCAUGCCUAACACAUGCAAGUCGAACGAGACCUUCCGGUCUAGUGGCGCACGGGUGCGUAACGCGUGGGAACCUGCCCUUAGGUUCGGAAUAACUCCCCGAAAGGGGUGCUAAUACCGGAUAAUGUCUUCGGACCAAAGAUUUAUCGCCUUUGGAUGGGCCCGCGUUGGAUUAGCUAGUUGGUAGGGUAAAAGCCUACCAAGGCGUCGAUCCAUAGCUGGUCUGAGAGGAUGAUCAGCCACACUGGGACUGAGACACGGCCCAGACUCCUACGGGAGGCAGCAGUGGGGAAUAUUGGACAAUGGGCGAAAGCCUGAUCCAGCAAUGCCGCGUGAGUGAUGAAGGCCUUAGGGUUGUAAAGCUCUUUUACCCGGGAUGAUAAUGACAGUACCGGGAGAAUAAGCUCCGGCUAACUCCGUG
Molecule: ribosomal RNA, 433 nt
Filed under: uncultured bacterium
Lineage: Bacteria
Description: partial 16S ribosomal RNA
Rfam family: Bacterial small subunit ribosomal RNA
Source: RNAcentral